This 253-nucleotide ribosomal RNA is filed under the name uncultured bacterium. RNAcentral describes it as "partial 16S ribosomal RNA". It matches the Rfam family "Bacterial small subunit ribosomal RNA", at positions 524 to 776 of the family's 1533-position model. The record is from RNAcentral.
UACGUAGGGGGCAAGCGUUGUCCGGAAUUAUUGGGCGUAAAGCGCGUGUAGGCGGUCCGGUAAGUCUGCUGUGAAAGUCCAGGGCUCAACCCUGGAAAGCCGGUGGAUACUGUCGGGCUCGAGUCCGGAAGAGGUGAGUGGAAUUCCCAGUGUAGCGGUGAAAUGCGUAGAUAUUGGGAGGAACACCAGUGGCGAAGGCGGCUCACUGGACCGGUUCUGACGCUGAGGCGCGAAAGCGUGGGGAGCAAACGGG